AGAGUUUGAUCAUGGCUCAGGACGAACGCUGGCGGCGUGCCUAAUGCAUGCAAGUCGCACGCACCGUGCUUGCACGGUGAGUGGCGCACGGCUGAGGAACACGUGGGCAUCUGCCCGUCCGUGGGGGAUAACGGGGCGAAAGCCUCGCUAAUCCCGCAUACGUUCCCCUGGUUUCAGGGGAGGAAAGCAGCAAUGCGCGGACGGAGGAGCCUGCGGCCCAUCAGGUAGUCGGCGGGGUAACGGCCCACCGAGCCGAUGACGGGUAGCUGGUCUGUGAGGACAACCAGCCAGACUGGGACUGAGACACGGCCCAGACUCCUACGGGAGGCAGCAGCAAGGAAUUUUCCCCAAUGGGCGCAAGCCUGAGGGAGCAACGCCGCGUGCGGGGUGACGGCCUUCGGGUUGUAAACCGCUUUUCGUGGGGACGAUUGUGACGGUACCCGCGGAAUAAGCCCCGGCUAACUCUGUGCCAGCAGCCGCGGUAAGACAGAGGGGGCAAGCGUUGUCCGGACUGACUGGGCGUAAAGCGCGCGCAGGCGGUCUCGGGCGUCGGUGCUGAAAGUCCACCGCUUAACGGUGGGAUGCGUGCCGAUACGCCGAGACUGGAGGGUGGGCGAGGGUGGUGGAAUUGCCGGUGUAGUGGUGAAAUGCGUAGAGAUCGGCAGGAACACCCGUGGUGAAAACGGCCACCUAGCCCGCACCUGACGCUGAGGCGCGACAGCGUGGGGAGCGAACGGGAUUAGAUACCCCGGUAGUCCACGCCGU
This 765-nucleotide ribosomal RNA is filed under the name uncultured bacterium. RNAcentral describes it as "bacterial SSU rRNA". It matches the Rfam family "Bacterial small subunit ribosomal RNA", at positions 8 to 803 of the family's 1533-position model. The record is from RNAcentral.